This 212-nucleotide long non-coding RNA is filed under the name Gopherus agassizii (Agassiz's desert tortoise). RNAcentral's name for it is "lncRNA (ENSGAGG00000006568.1)". Lineage: Eukaryota; Metazoa; Chordata; Testudines; Testudinidae. The record is from RNAcentral.
GGAAAGCCGGUUUGCCUGGCCCCCUCGGGCUGGAUGGUGCUCCUGGAAUUCCUGGGCCAAGGGGAGAAAAGGGGGAGGCAGGGAUCGGCAUUCCAGGCACACCUGGCUUUAAGGGAGAAGAAGGAGGAAAGGGGGAAAUGGGACCACCCGGAGCACAAGGACAAAAGGGUGAUCCAGGAUUGCCUGGAGGAGAAGGACUGACUGGCCCAAAG